This 493-nucleotide ribosomal RNA is filed under the name uncultured bacterium. RNAcentral's name for it is "bacterial SSU rRNA". It matches the Rfam family "Bacterial small subunit ribosomal RNA", at positions 28 to 514 of the family's 1533-position model. The record is from RNAcentral.
GAUGAACGCUAGCGGCAGGCUUAAUACAUGCAAGUCGUGGGGCAGCAUGAGUAGCAAUACUUGAUGGCGACCGGCAAACGGGUGAGGAACACGUACACAACCUUCCUUCAAGCGGGGAAUAGCCCAGAGAAAUUUGGAUUAAUACCCCAUAAUAUAUUUGAUAAGGCAUCUUAUUAAUAUUAAAGCUUCGGCACUUGAUGAUGGGUGUGCGGCUGAUUAGAUAGUUGGCGGGUAACGGCCCACCAAGUCUACGAUCAGUAGCUGAUGUGAGAGCAUGAUCAGCCACACGGGCACUGAGACACGGGCCCGACUCCUACGGGAGGCAGCAGUAAGGAAUAUUGGACAAUGGACGAAAGUCUGAUCCAGCCAUGCCGCGUGAAAGGAUUAAAGGUCCUCUGGAUUGUAAACUUCUUUAUAUGGGACGAAAAAAGGGCAUUCUUGUUCACUUGACGGUACCAUAUGAAUAAGCACCGGCUAAACUCCGUGCCAGCAG